GUGCGCUCAGCACUGUCCACUCACUCACCCAGUGUGCGCUCAGCACCUGUCCCAGACAAGCUCUGGGUACCAACUCUGUGGCCUCAAUCUUCUCCGUGUUUCACUUCUUUCAUUGAAAGAUGCAACGAAAAUAGCAGCUGUGAUUAAAACAUCUGAAGAGAGAAAACUGACAAGGCAAACAUGCACAACAGGCUGGGGGCUAACGAGGAUGAGGACUGUGGUUGAGACAAAGACUUCCAGACCACAAAGAGGGAAAGAGGAACACCUCUCCCUGUGGGGGAUGGAGAUGCCCCCCAGAACAGAAUAUGUGCCACCUUGACCAUCAAUAGAGUAACCAUCCUCGGCCUCCUUUCUACACCAAGCUGGUGGUAGAUCCAUCCCUGUUGAAGCUGUGGGUAGGGAGAUUUGAUUAUACAGGGCAAACAUGGCCUCCAGAGAUUUACCCUGUGGCUGCCCAGAGAGAGGAGCCCUGGAGAAGAGGAGCUGGGUUAUGAGCUGAUCUUAAAAGCUGUCACCUUUUGAACAAUGCUGCUCUAGGCAAGUGUGCAGAUGUUGCUGUUUCCUUUGUCCUAAGCACGUUCUUCUAGCGGGACUCACUGGGUGCUGGAGUUGGAAUAGUUUCCUGACCCUGUGAGCUGGGCCGUGCUGAGGACAUGCCGGAAGGAAGGGUGUUUGGAAAGACUGGUCGGGCAGCUCUUAGGAGACUCUUGGCUCCCUGAUGUGCUUUAAGUCGCUGCUUCUUCUAAACUCAUUAUCCCUUCACAGCAAAGAUAUGAAGAAUUCCCUCUUGAAUAUGAAAAAAGAAUAGCCAUCCCCAUGAAUUCUCAACUCCUUCAAGUAAGUUAUUACCAUCAAUAAUAUUGAUCAUCUAAACACUUUACAUUUUUCACAAUAUUACAUUGUUCUUUUUUCUUUAAUCAGAUCUAGAAUGUUUUGCUCGUUUUUGAGACAGAAUCUUGCCCUGGCCCUGGCUGGCCUUGAACUUGGUGCCCUUCUGCCCCAACCUCCUGAGUUCUGAGAUCAGAGAUAUCCACGACAUGCCUGGUCCAGGUUCAGAAUGCAUACCCACCUUUGGAUUUUUUAAUUCAUGAGUGCAAAAGUUGGACAGAAGUCUGGGACAAGAUUUCAGGUACUGGAAGGAAAGCAGGAAGACUCAAGGACAAUGACAUCCAGAUCAAGGUCAUCCAGGUUGCUACAGGUAGAGGCAUGUGAGCGGGGUCACGUGAAGGAGAGAACGUGAGAGUCCCAAGAUAGGAAACUCGGAGAUAUUCAACAAACCUAGAAGACGAGUCAAAGCAUGGCUUCUGAGCAGGCAGCCUAGCUAGAGGACUCAGACUCCUGACAAAGCAGAUGUGGGAGUCCAGUGCGUCAACGGACCCAAGGGGGACCUGAGAAACAGCCUAGGAGACCAGAGGACAGCACAGAGCUUGGUCCUGUUCACAGAGGGAAGCAGCGACAUGUGUUUCUAAUGCAUUAUGUUGCCAGAAAACUGUCCUGUCUGCACUCUAUUGUAAUGUCCCAUAUUGCUUUAUUUAAAAUUGUGUAAUUGUGAGAGGCCCAGUCAGAACAAGGCUCCUGCUUCCCAGUCAGAAGUCUCCUCUUUCUGUCUGUUUUAAAUGUAAGUAUGGAGGGAGGCAUUAGCCUGGUAGGUGUGCUCUCCUCCACAGCAAGUAAGAACUCUGCAGGUGCCAGGGUCUGGGGCUGAGGCCCAGGCAGGGGGGAAGCUCCCUGGAGAGUUCCACAGACCCUAAAAAAGUUCCUCCACACAUCUAAAGGAGGGAAGAAAUCUCCUUCUGUCUUCCAUUGUUUCAGACUUAAUUUGAGGUUCACAAAAGGAGUGGCCAUUGGUUUCUGAGUUUUCCGUUUCUGAGUGCUAGACGUGAAUAGACAGGGAAUUGUCCUGGUGUUUAUCGAACAAAUGGGGUAUUCUCUGGUAAUAGAGGGACUUAUUUCUGUUCUGGAAAUACUCAUCCAGUGCCUUCGAGAGAUGGCUGGCCACUUGUUUAAAGAACCCGAAGAUGAGCCAAAGCCGCUAGCCGUGUUAAGGGAAUAGUUGUGGGCAGACAUCAUGAAGGGGUGGGUGGGGGCAGGUGGAUGAGGACCAGCUGCCUGCCAGGAGACACUUAAUUCAAAAUAAGAGGACUACCCACUGUACUGGAAAACAAAUGUGUUCGCAAAAUUCCUGUUCCUACCUCCUGAACCUAGCUGUUUUCAGACUUAGAAACUAGGAUUAAGAAAACAAUGCAAAGCUUAUACAGACUACAGUUUGAUCCCUUUGCAAAAUCCAGGGAAGCGUUGGCAUGUGUUUUCAAUACAUUCAGAUUUUUUUCCAAAAGACUUUUUUCUUCUUCUCUCUAUAAUGAUUAGCUCCAUGUUGCUUUAUUUAAAACUGUACAAUUCACAGGAAAAAAAAAGACUCAGGCUUGUUCCAAUGUAUGGGCCAAGUUUCUCCUGUGACAGGGAACUGGACGUACUUCCCUCUUUGUUGGUGACUCGCUCCCUCUGGGAACUUAAUUCUUAAUAAAGUGUAAGCGCUGGGGUUGCUUUUGUGUUCUUGGCUUCAAAUUACACGGCCAUGCAGCUUCUGAAAUGUUGUCCUUUUCGCCUUAUGUGCUCUCAGUAGUAACGAAGCAAAGUAGACUUACAUUCGGAGGCCUCCUUGAGUUCAUGAUCUAGAGGAAGAGGUUCUAGGGUUGCCAUGAUGAAACUCUAUUAGGAGAAAUCUCCAGGACAGACUGGAAACAAAUGUUCUUCUUACCAUGAACUCUGGAAGUGGUGGGAGGAUUUUUUUUUUUAAAGAGGAAUAUUUUAAGAGAGGCUCUGAUGAACAACUUUCACAAAAAUUUCCAUUAUUCUAAGUUAGGCAUGAUACCCAAAUCCAGCAAAAUGAGCCGACAGGGUUAAAAUUUAACUAGACAGGGCUGUAAUUCCUCAGAGCAGCAAACCCCAACUCAUGUGUAGUAAGAUUAUUUUUUUUUUUUACUAGGUUGCUGACCUAGUUUCAGACUCGCAAGCUCCAGGUCUCUAAAAGAGUAGGAAGAAAAGCUACUUACUUAUACUCUGCAGUUUAUUACACUAAUUUAUGGUCCUUCAAGUCUGGGCAGGGGAUGGGCUGUUCUUGUUUUAUUGAAGAACCUUUUUGUCCUUUGUUGGGGACGUUUCCAGCUGUUCAACAAUCGACUCUAAUAGAAUCUUAUGAAUAAAACUAAUGAAAACAUGAAGACGUGAACUCGAGAGACCAAACGUACAGUAGCUUAUUGUUCCCUCUCUGGAGAAUAGAAAUACCUUCUCUAACAAGGUACAAUGGUGCAGACAGGAACCAACACUCUGGUUUCAAUGCACAAGGCUUUCGGGGUCAGGAAGAGGCCAAUGCUGCUGACCUUAAUCGGGUCAGCCUGGCAAGCGCAAGAAACAGGACAAACAGAAAGGUAAAUGUGUUUCCACUCUGGGAUGUGGUCACUCGGUUAUUAAAAUUGUUUUAGGAGGGAAACAAAUGAGCAGGACUAGCUCUUUGUCCUCUGACCUAUCUCCAUGUGUUUUCAGAAGAAUAUAUGUAACAAGCAGGUCAUGUUCACUUUGUCACAAAGGCCAAUCCUUGGGGCGUGGUGUGUCCUUUUGAGUCUUGGGGAGUAUAAGAAAAACUGGAAAAUGGAAAGUUGUUACAACUCAAAAACCUAGAGGUUUUGUUUGCGUACUGUGCUGGCAAUGAACCCGGGCCCUUGUGCACGCUAAGCCACACAUCCCGCCUGUAUACAUGGGGGAUUGUAAUUUAAUUACAACAUUAUUUAAUACAGCAGACUUUCAAUGGGAUUGCAGUAGGACCACUUACCUAGUACUCAGUGAUGCCCACCUACAAAGUGAGAGGCUUAUGUGGCCAGUGUAUAUCCAUGUGGGUCCCCUACCCAUGUCACUGGCAGUACACAAGGUGAUUUUAGGUGGCACAUGGACACUCGCUUGAAGUUAUUUAUUUAUUUAAUUAUUGAUUGACGGAUUUUUUUUUUCUUUUCCUAAAAACAGGAUCUCACCUAGCUGAGGCUGGAGUCAAAGUUGCUCUGUAAUAAGGAUGACUUUGAAGUUUGGAUCCUCCCGAGUGCUGGGGCUCCAGGCAUGUGCUACCAACCUGGUCUAUGUGGUGCUGGGAAUCAAACCCAGGCUUCACAAAUGCCCACUAGGCCACAUCCUCAGCUCCAUUUCAGAAUUUAUUUUUCCAGCUUGAGAGCUCAGCCGUUAAAGGCUAGGCUCA
Molecule: non-coding RNA, 4243 nt
Organism: Peromyscus maniculatus bairdii (prairie deer mouse)
Lineage: Eukaryota; Metazoa; Chordata; Mammalia; Rodentia; Cricetidae
Source: RefSeq, a predicted model, not a curated record